Eriocheir sinensis (Chinese mitten crab) is the source of this 1506-nucleotide long non-coding RNA. RefSeq lists it as uncharacterized. The transcript is spliced from 3 exons. The record is from RefSeq and is a predicted model, not a curated record. Lineage: Eukaryota; Metazoa; Arthropoda; Malacostraca; Decapoda; Varunidae.
GGAAGGAGAGAAAAUGUAAGGAAUAGGGAAGAAAAAGGAGGAGGAAGAAGAAGAAGAAGAGGAGGAGGAGGAGGAGGAGAAAAACUGACGUGAUGAAGAGAGGAAAACUGUAGGUCAUUGAAGGUCAGAGAGAGAGAGAGAGAGAGAGAGAGAGAGAGAGAGAGAGAGAGAGAGAGAGAGAGAGAGAGAGAGAGAGAGAACUAGACAAACAUAUAUGAACAGACUGACAGUGUAUACGCAACAACAGACAGAGAGAAACAGAAAUUAACAGACAGACAGACGCUAACAGAGAGAGACAGACAGACAGACAGACAGGCAGAAUGCAAGCAGGGUAUUUAGGCGAAGCAGGCCAAGACAAGGAAAGGAAAGUUAGCAGGCAGGCAGGCAGGGAGGCAAGCAGUGAGAGGAAGGUUAGCAGGCAGAUAGGAAAACUAGCAGAAGGAGGUUAGCAGGCAGAUAGGAAAACUAGCAGAAGGAGGUUAGCAGGCAGAUAGGAAAACUAGCAGAAGGAGGUUAGCAGGCAGAUAGGAAAACUAGCAGAGGUAGGUUAGCAGGCAGAUAGGAUAGCUAGUAGAGGAAGGUUAGCAGGCAGAUAGGAUAGCUAGCAGAGGAAGGUUAGCAGGCAGAUAGGAUAGCUAGUAGAGGAAGGUUAGCAGGCAGAUAGGAUAGCUAGCAGAGGAAGGUUAGCAGGCAGAUAGGAUAGCUAGCAGAAGGAGGUUAGCAGGCAGAUAGGAAAGCUAGCAGAGGUAGGUUAGCAAGCAGGCACUCAGGUAUUUGCGUGCCUGGAGGAAGCAGCGGCCGGAGGUGGCACCGCUUGGCACUCGAUCAACGCGGAAGGGAGGCAAAACAAUCCGCUGACCGAGUAUAUUGAGCCGUGUGUGUGUGUGUGUGUGUGUGUGUGUGUGUGUGAGUGUGUGUGUGUGUGUGUGUGUGUUAUCGUCAUCUAUGUAUCGAUGUUUUUUUUUUCCUUAUCUGUAUCUCUCUUAUAUGUGUUAGUAUGUUGUUGUUGUUGUUGUUGUGUCCGUGAGUGAGGUAUAAUGAUUUGAGAUAUAGAGAUAGAGAGAUUGAGAGACGGCAUUAGAGUAGUGACUUUCUAUAUUGCUUUCCUCUAAUUCAUACCCUUCAAAGCACAGCGCCGUCGUGUGUGAGUGUUAAAUUGGGUUGUAUGAAUGUGAAAAAUAAACCUUGUAUUGAUAAGUUCCAGCGUUCUCGAGGUUAGUAAGAAAGGUUGUAUUGAGUCGGUCAUUAAUAUCGCUAUCACGUGUCUUCCGCGGAUAGUUAAGAAUGCUGUGUCAUAUCUCUUUUAUCUCUGUGUUAAGAAGCUGUGUUAUCUUUGCCAUCGUCAUCAUUUGCGCCCUCAUCAUCAUUGCCAUCGUCACAUCAUCACCAGUCAUCCUCGUCAUCGCCAUAUCUUGCCACCCGGAGAUAGAAAUGAAACCAAUAUCUCUUUUUAUCUCUGUGUUAAGAAGCUGUGUUAUCUUUGUCAGCAUCGUCACUAGCGCCCUC